AGAACGAACGCUGGCGGCAUGCCUAAUACAUGCAAGUCGAACGAACUCUUCGGAGUUAGUGGCGCACGGGUGCGUAACGCGUGGGAAUCUGCCCUUGGGUUCGGAAUAACAGUUGGAAACGACUGCUAAUACCGGAUGAUGACGAAAGUCCAAAGAUUUAUCGCCCAGGGAUGAGCCCGCGUAGGAUUAGCUAGUUGGUGAGGUAAAGGCUCACCAAGGCGACGAUCCUUAGCUGGUCUGAGAGGAUGAUCAGCCACACGUGGGACUGAGACACGGCCCAGACUCCGUACGGGAGGCAGCAGUAGGGAAUAUUGGACAAGUGGGCGAAAGCCUGAUCCAGCAAUGCCGCGUGAGUGAUGAAGGCUUAGGUUGUAAGCUCGUUUACCGAGAUAGAUAA
Molecule: ribosomal RNA, 397 nt
Filed under: uncultured soil bacterium
Lineage: Bacteria
Description: bacterial SSU rRNA
Rfam family: Bacterial small subunit ribosomal RNA
Source: RNAcentral